RNAcentral lists this ribosomal RNA (468 nucleotides) under uncultured Acholeplasma sp. RNAcentral's name for it is "bacterial SSU rRNA". It matches the Rfam family "Bacterial small subunit ribosomal RNA", at positions 910 to 1382 of the family's 1533-position model. Lineage: Bacteria; Bacillati; Mycoplasmatota; Mollicutes; Acholeplasmatales; Acholeplasmataceae. The record is from RNAcentral.
UUGACGGGACCCCCGCACAAGCGGUGGAUCAUGUUGUUUAAUUCGAUGAUACGCGAAGAACCUUACCAGGUCUUGACAUCCCCCGCGAUGCUUUAGAGAUAAAGCGGAGGUAUUCGGGGAGACAGGUGGUGCAUGGUUGUCGUCAGCUCGUGUCGUGAGAUGUUGGGUUAAGUCCCGCAACGAGCGCAACCCCUAUUGCUAGUUACCAUCAUUAAGUUGGGGACUCUAGCGAGACUGCCAGUGAUAAACUGGAGGAAGGUGGGGAUGACGUCAAAUCAUCAUGCCCCUUAUGACCUGGGCUACAAACGUGAUACAAUGGCUGGAACAAAGGGAUGCGAAGCAGUGAUGUGGAGCGAAACCCAUAAAAACAGUCUCAGUUCGGAUUGAAGUCUGCAACUCGACUUCAUGAAGUCGGAAUCGCUAGUAAUCGCGGAUCAGAACGCCGCGGUGAAUACGUUCUCGGGGUUU